UGUGUGUGUGUGAAUGUAUGUGUAACUGGUAGACAAAGACAUAAAAGAAAAAUGCAAAAAUAAAUCCUCUUUUGCAACCCAAACUCAGUGUUCCAUAUGCCUUUUGCUACAUAUACAAAUGAAUAUA
This is a non-coding RNA of Mesocricetus auratus (golden hamster), 127 nucleotides long. The record is from Rfam. NCBI's taxonomy places the organism in Eukaryota, Metazoa, Chordata, Mammalia, Rodentia, Cricetidae.